This 230-nucleotide long non-coding RNA is filed under the name Elaeis guineensis (African oil palm). RNAcentral's name for it is "long non-coding RNA (EGUI_LNC050699)". Lineage: Eukaryota; Viridiplantae; Streptophyta; Magnoliopsida; Arecales; Arecaceae. The record is from RNAcentral.
CAGAAGGGGGAAGCAAAAGGGGGACUGGAAGAAGUUAAGUACUUAAAGCAAUCCUCGAUGAUGGCUGGAAUCGAGAGUUCGAAGUCUGAAGAAGCCGAGCUUUCUUAGAGCUUGUUUGCCUUUUAUUCUAUGUAUUCCUUUCCUUUCUUGUUGCUUCUUUUUUUGUUUUCGUCUUCAAAGGCUUUGUAAUGCGCACUUUACUAAUGAAAUGAAAAGAAAAUUUUCCAUCA